CCUACGGGAGGCAGCAGUGAGGAAUAUUGGUCAAUGGCCGGAAGGCUGAACCAGCCAAGCCGCGUGAAGGACGAAGGUGCCAAGCAUUGUAAACUUCUUUUGUCAAGGGACAAAAUCAGGCUCGAGAGCCUGACCGAGGGUACUUGAAGAAAAAGCAUCGGCUAACUCCGUGCCAGCAGCCGCGGUAAUACGGAGGUGGCAAGCGUUGUCCGGAUUUACUGGGUGUAAAGGGCGUGCAGCCGGAGAGACAAGUCAGAUGUGAAAUCCACAGGCUUAACCUGUGAACUGCAUUUGAAACUGUUUCCCUUGAGUAUCGGAGAGGUCAUCGGAAUUCCUGGUGUAGCGGUGAAAUGCGUAGAUAUUAGGAAGAACACUAGUGGCGAAGGCGGAUGACUGGACGACAACUGACGGUGAGGCGCGAAAGCGUGGGGAGCAAACAGGAUUAGAUACCCGAGUAGUC
RNAcentral lists this ribosomal RNA (460 nucleotides) under uncultured bacterium. Its description in RNAcentral is "partial 16S ribosomal RNA". It matches the Rfam family "Bacterial small subunit ribosomal RNA", at positions 338 to 795 of the family's 1533-position model. The record is from RNAcentral.